Long non-coding RNA from Odontomachus brunneus, 2633 nucleotides. RefSeq lists it as uncharacterized. Lineage: Eukaryota; Metazoa; Arthropoda; Insecta; Hymenoptera; Formicidae. The transcript has 3 exons. The record is from RefSeq and is a predicted model, not a curated record.
AGAUGUUGACACUUCACGAUACAGCAAAAAUCAGCUGUCGCCGUCAACCAUUUAUAGCACCUAGAGCCAUUUUUUGAAAACGGACCGAACUAAGUUGUACACUCAAUAUAAUUUAAUACACACAGGCUGUUUUAUAACUACUAAUAUAAAUAGGAGAGCAGGAGAGGAGGGGGGUGAUACUACAAGUCAAAAUAAAUAGAAAAUGUUCAAUAAAAAUUUUUUAUAUGAGUGUUAAAAAAAAUAACUUUGUAUGUUCGUCUGGUGCACGAAUACUUAGCUACAUCUGGACUCAGUUGCCUUCGUUAUAUGUCGUUUCUAUAUUCGUUUGUAUUUAUAAAUAUUGUCAAUAGCAAGAUAUUUUUUGUAUCAGUUCUGCUAGUUUAACUCUCAAGUUUUUAUUCUUCUAGAUUAAACUAUAUUCUCAGUUAAUCUUAGUUAUUUGGCAAAAUCGACUACCAUGUCGAAGAAGUGAGUCAAAUAAACUGUAUUUUGUGAUUGUUCAUUUUGUUCUUUAAAUAAUCUGUUUAUCUGGAUGUCGAUAAUUAGGAUAUCGAACUUGAUAGUAAUUAGCUACAACAAAAACGUUGCUGCCACAUAUAUUUAGUGUAAGAAUCAUGUCUGUAUACUCUCGAUUGUAGCCAUAUCGAUAGAAAAAUAGAGACGGAGAGUUAUAAGACUCGUGAUCACCACAGAACUCUCAAUUAAUGACGUCAGAGGUAUGUGAUAAAAAUUUUUACAAAAUACAUUAAAAUAAAAAAAAUAUAUCCAUAAAAUGACACUUGCAAUCGAUAUAUCUGUUAAAUAGUUCAGACGCUUUCUUUUUGCUCUAACACUUUAUAAAUUGUCGUAAAAUUUACUUAACACAAUUUAUCUUUUUAACCUACCAUUUUAAAUUAUCAUUUUAUAACGUUAAUUUUACAAUUAUUUAUUGAUUGUUAGAAUAAAAUGAGUGUAUGAAAUAUUUUGCAAAUUUGCUCGAUCGAUUGCAAGUGUCAUUUUAUGGAUGCAUUUUUUUUUAUGUAUUUUACAAGAAUUUUUAACGUGCAUUUUUUCGUUUCUGACGUCAUAAAUUAAAGUGGCCAUGACAAUGACACAGACUUCAAACUAGCAAACUAAUAUUAAAAGUCUUGUUACUGAUAGUGUUUAUAAAUACAAUUGCCUAUAAAGACUGCGUAAAACGAGGAGAGUUGAAUCCAGAUACAGUUAAGUGCUGACACACCGAGUGAAUAUUCAAAGAUGUUUUCCUGGAAAAUGAAGCUUCGUAUAAAAAAUUUUUAUUCUACAGUUUUUACUGAUUUUUUCCAUGUAAAAUUUCAUUUCGCUCCCUUCCUGCUUGUAUUACUAGUUUUGAUACUGCACUCUAUAUGCAGAAUGUUCAAGAAAAUGAAUUCGAGACUUACUGGAUCUCAGUAAGCAAAUUAAUAACAGAGUACACUUAGGAUGUUUACGACAACUAGUCGGAUUUUCAAUCGGAUCAGGCAGUGGGACUCAAAUGCUUAAUUUAAAAGAAUUCCCUAGAUUGAUCGGAUCCGUGGUCGGCAUUAAUCGGAUGUCUCUGCAUUAAUCGGAUUGAAUCAGAACAUCAGGACAAGGGAUAAAACAAGUUUACAUUCUUCAGAGAUUUAAAAUAGAAUAAAAAUAUAAAAGUAGAUGUAACGAAGCUUUGAGUUUAACAAAACCAAAAUGAAUACAAGUGGAGAUGCAACAAUUGAUAAACAUCGAUUUGAAAUCUGUAAAUUUCAAUGGAUGAAAGAGGCAACUAAACUUUUAAUAGAAAAAAUGAAAUCAUACAUGUCAUUAUUCAAUAAUAAAAAUUGCAUGCACAAAGAAAUAUGGAAAAAAAUAGUAAGCAAUUUUAAUAGAGAAGGUUAUAAAAUAAUAUAUGAACUAUGCGCUGUUAAAUGGAAAAAUUUAAAACGAAGAUAUCAUAAUAUAAAAGAUGCAAAUAAUCAAAUAGAGGUAGAGAAUAUUGGAAAUAUUUUGAUAUAAUUGAUGAUUUUUUGAACACACCAAAUCAGAGACAGAACCUGUAUCCAUUACCUCAAGUACAAAGGGUUUUAGAAUAAGGCAAUCAAAUUCACAUAAAAAAAAUUUAAAUGAUGAAAAUGACAGUACACUGUCUGAUAUUUCGCAUGCUGUGACAUGUUGUAUUAAACCACUUCAAAGAAAAAAUAAGCAAUUUAUAUGGAUGGAAAAAUUAUAUAAACAGAGGCAGCUUUACUAUGAGAAAAAUAUAAAUAUGCAAGAGAGAUACUUGAAUUUAUUGGAAAAAUAUAUAUAAAAAGAUAAUGUACACUAAGGAAAAGAAAAUAACUAUAAUUAAUCUUUGUGUAUAAUGCGAAAAAAUUUUAUUUUUGCAAUUAUUAACUCUUAUUAUAAAAAAAACUAUUGGUUAUAUUAAACGCGUUGUAAUACUAUUAAAAAAAUAGAUAGUUUAUUUUUUUAUUAGCUAAUUAGUUAGAGUUGUUAAUAGAGUCAUAGAGUUGUUAAUUUUGUCAUUUGAUCAUAAAACUAAAUAUAUAAUUUUAUUAAACUUUGUGUAAUAAGAAAUUUUAUUUCAUAUAUACAGGGUGAGUCAUUUUAGUCUAUGGAUCCGAAUAUCUUCCAAAUUACGGUAUCUACAAAAAAAUGGU